RNAcentral lists this ribosomal RNA (301 nucleotides) under uncultured bacterium. RNAcentral describes it as "partial 16S ribosomal RNA". It matches the Rfam family "Bacterial small subunit ribosomal RNA", at positions 509 to 807 of the family's 1533-position model. The record is from RNAcentral.
CAGUCGCCGCGGUAAUACGUAGGGUGCGAGCGUUAAUCGGAAUUACUGGGCGUAAAGCGUGCGCAGGCGGUUCGCUAAGACAGAUGUGAAAUCCCCGGGCUUAACCUGGGAACUGCAUUUGUGACUGGCGAGCUAGAGUAUGGCAGAGGGGGGUAGAAUUCCACGUGUAGCAGUGAAAUGCGUAGAGAUGUGGAGGAAUACCGAUGGCGAAGGCAGCCCCCUGGGCCAAUACUGACGCUCAUGCACGAAAGCGUGGGGAGCAAACAGGAUUAGAUACCCCCGUAGUCCCUGUCUCUUAUAC